CUCAUGCUGCAGUCGGUUCUUGCAAAGCAACAACUCAGACUCCAGCCUGAAUGUGUCAGUCCCAGCGCCGGCUCCUUUAAACACAGUCAGUCAGUGCCCAUCGCUGCGGGAACCAGACAAUAGGAGGCUGAUUGGUCUUUUGGUCAGCUACAAUGGGGCUCAGUUUGCCAGCGCCCUGCAUUCUGCCAAUGUGGACUGGCACCCUCUUCAGUGUCCUCGUCUUGUCCACACAUGUAAACCCACAGCAAUUGAACGCAAGCUGUAGCCACCACUAUGACAAAAGAAAUCAUUGCUGCAAUGAAUGUCAAGCAGUGAAAGAACAGUUUCCAUUGGUCCUUCCAGGACAUUUCCCUUGUAGCUCUGGCAGGAGUGUGGUGGGAGUUCUGGAAACCAACUAGACAACGUCCAAGUACCCAUGGAACAGGCUACCCUCUCCAGAACCCUUCAGCCAGCCUAACCCCUUAAUCCUCAACAAUACUUUGAACCUUACAGAUCUGCUCAAUUCAAGAAUUUGCAGCACUGAAUCUGUCAGUGAGACUUGACCAGUGUCUGAAGUUAUCAUCACCAGGGAGGUCAGCUUAGAGCCACCUCAGCUUCAAAGGGUAGCAUCCAGACUCCCUCAUCAAUGGUCCAUUAUCUCAUCUAAAUGCCUAGCGGAUAGCAGAGCUCCUCGCAAGUGGUAUCAGAACUGACCCCAAGUUAUACCAGUGCUUUAAUACCCUCUGCCAAAGCCUGAUACAAGCUGUACCUUAUCAAAUACAAGUUCCGUCAAUUUCAGUUCUCGAGCGUCAUCAACAGCAGGUGGUCUAUCUGCAAUGUAGUCCUGGUAAUCAGUGAGCCGUGGACAAACAAGCUCAUGUUCUCAAAUGUGGCCUCCAGGUUACACCUUCCGCCAGCUAUUCUGACAAGUUUUGAAAGUUUCCUCAUCUCCUCUCUCAGAGGCAACUAUUUUCAUUGUGGAAGAAGAGCCUUUUCACGUAUCUGAUAUGGUGCUAAUCAUCUCGAUGUUCUAGAUGUCCAAGUCAAUUGCCUAGCAAGAAACUUAUUAUCGACUAGGAAAUGCAGAUCCACAUAUCAAUGGUUGUAGCAAAGAGAUUUGCUCACCUUGAUGAUGACUUAUGAAUUCCAGUCAGAGGUUGGUUUAAAUUACAGCCCUAUUUUGUUCCACUCCCUUUCUGUCAGUUAGUCCUGCAGCUCAUAAGGCUGCCAAUGGUAGUCUGAUCUUUAUCCCAAAAAACACUGCCUCAGACUUAUUCAAAAUAACGUUUGCCCAAAGUGCCGCUCCCACUGGGUCGAUCCAUUUUCUGAAUGUCAGAGCCUUUCCCUGUGCAUUACUAACACAUUUUGAGAUUUGUAUCAUGUUUCCAAAUGCUCCUGUACAGACUGGGAGUGAAGCUGGACUGAGAACUAAUGAGAUUGUGCCUCGGUUAUGCAUGUGGUGAGACCACAUCUCGAAUACAGUGUGCAGUUUUGGUCCCCUUAUUUAUGGAAGGAUGUAAAUAUGUUGGUGGCAGUUGAGAUGAGCUUUACUAACUUGGUACCUGGAAUGAGUGAGUUGCCUUACAGGGGGUAGAUUGAACAGAUGGACUUCUUAACACUGGAGUUUUCAAGAGUGAGGGGUGACAGCAUGGAAUUGUAUACAAUCCAGAUUGGUCUUGACAAUGUGGACAUGGAAAGCAUACAAACAUACAUACAUGGGAAAUUGGAAGAGAGGUAGACCAUGUGGAUCCUCAAACAUGCUCCGCCAUUCAAUAAUAUCAUGGCUGAUCUGUUUGUGUUUUGAAUUUCACAUAGUUGUGCCAAACAAGAAUCUAUUCACCACAACCUUAAAAAUAUGUAAUGAAUCUGCCUCCACUACCUACUGGGGCAGAGAGUUCCCAAGUCCUACAAUCUUCUGAUA
Long non-coding RNA from Rhincodon typus (whale shark), 1900 nucleotides. RefSeq lists it as uncharacterized. NCBI's taxonomy places the organism in Eukaryota, Metazoa, Chordata, Chondrichthyes, Orectolobiformes, Rhincodontidae. The transcript is spliced from 3 exons. The record is from RefSeq and is a predicted model, not a curated record.